GAGAUCCGAGACCCCGUCGAGAGAGUGAUCGAGAGGGAGAAACCGGUUCUCUCGUUUCCGCCGGAAAUCCGAGAAAUCUUCAAGAGAACGCCUCCGAUCCGGCGAAGAGAGAGACGUUAGUGUCGUCGCCCUUGCUGUAACCACCACUGUCUUUCCUGAUGUCCCUGCGAUCGAGCGAACCCGAGAGAGAAUCCGAGAGAGCCCGAGAGAGAGA
Molecule: long non-coding RNA, 214 nt
Filed under: Eucalyptus grandis
Lineage: Eukaryota; Viridiplantae; Streptophyta; Magnoliopsida; Myrtales; Myrtaceae
Description: long non-coding RNA (EGRA_LNC003943)
Source: RNAcentral